This 65-nucleotide transfer RNA is filed under the name bovine gut metagenome. It matches the Rfam family "tRNA". Rfam says of the family: Transfer RNA (tRNA) molecules are approximately 80 nucleotides in length. Their secondary structure includes four short double-helical elements and three loops (D, anti-codon, and T loops). The record is from RNAcentral.
GGUAUCGCCAAGCGGUAAGGCAACGGACUCUGACUCCGUCAGUCGCAGGUUCGAAUCCUGCUACC